CCUACGGGAGGCAGCAGUGGGGAAUAUUGGGCAAUGGAGGAAACUCUGACCCAGCGACGCCGCGUGCGGGAUGAAGGCCUUCGGGUUGUAAACCGCUUUCAGUAGGGAAGAAGCGAAAGUGACGGUACCUACAAAAGAAGCACCGGCUAACUAUGUGCCAGCAGCCGCGGUAAUACAUAGGGUGCAAGCGUUGUCCGGAAUUAUUGGGCGUAAAGAGCUCGUAGGUCGUUUGUUACGUCGGAUGUGAAAACCUGAGGCUCAACCUCAGGCCUGCAUUCGAUACGGGCAAACUAGAGUUUGGUAGGGGAGACUGGAAUUCCUGGUGUAGCGGUGGAAUGCGCAGAUAUCAGGAGGAACACCAAUGGCGAAGGCAGGUCUCUGGGCCAAUACUGACACUGAGGAGCGAAAGUCUGGGGAGCGAACAGGAUUAGAUACCCUGGUAGUCCAGACCGUAAACGGUGGGCACUAGUUGUGGGAACCUUCCACGGUUUCUGCGACGCNGCUACGCAUAGUAGCCCGCCGUCGGGAGGUACGAGUCGCGAGAAGUUAAAACGUUAAAACGGUAAAGUUAGACGGUAACGUGUAGACGUUGUCCGAACGACGACGACGAGGGAGGAGG
This 619-nucleotide ribosomal RNA is filed under the name uncultured bacterium. Its description in RNAcentral is "bacterial SSU rRNA". The stretch from base 1 to 521 matches the Rfam family "Bacterial small subunit ribosomal RNA", at positions 338 to 873 of the family's 1533-position model. The record is from RNAcentral.